AGAGUUUGAUCCUGGCUCAGAUUGAACGCUGGCGGCAUGCUUUACACAUGCAAGUCGAACGGUAACAGGGAGCUUGCUCCGCUGACGAGUGGCGAACGGGUGAGUAAUGCAUCGGAACGUACCCAGUCGUGGGGGAUAACGUAGCGAAAGUUACGCUAAUACCGCAUACGUCCUGAGGGAGAAAGCGGGGGACCGAAAGGCCUCGCGCGAUUGGAGCGGCCGAUGUCGGAUUAGCUAGUUGGUAGGGUAAAGGCCUACCAAGGCGACGAUCCGUAGCGGGUCUGAGAGGAUGAUCCGCCACACUGGGACUGAGACACGGCCCAGACUCCUACGGGAGGCAGCAGUGGGGAAUUUUGGACAAUGGGCGCAAGCCUGAUCCAGCCAUGCCGCGUGAGUGAAGAAGGCCUUCGGGUUGUAAAGCUCUUUCAGGUGGAAAGAAAACGCAUGGGUCAAUACCCUGUGUGGAUGACGGUACCAUCAGAAGAAGCACCGGCUAACUACGUGCCAGCAGCCGCGGUAAUACGUAGGGUGCGAGCGUUAAUCGGAAUUACUGGGCGUAAAGCGUGCGCAGGCGGUUGUGUAAGACAGAUGUGAUAUCCCCGGGCUCAACCUGAGAACUGCGUUUGUGACUGCACAACUUAGAGUACGGCAGAAGGAGGUGGAAUUCCGCGUGUAGCA
Molecule: ribosomal RNA, 678 nt
Filed under: uncultured bacterium
Lineage: Bacteria
Description: bacterial SSU rRNA
Rfam family: Bacterial small subunit ribosomal RNA
Source: RNAcentral